CCGAAUUCGUCGACAACAGAGUUUGAUCCUGGCUCAGGACGAACGCUGGCGGCGUGCCUAAUACAUGCAAGUCGAGCGGACGGAUGGGAGCUUGCUCCCUGAAGUCAGCGGCGGACGGGUGAGUAACACGUGGGCAACCUGCCUGUAAGACUGGGAUAACUUCGGGAAACCGGAGCUAAUACCGGAUAACGCCGAGGACCUCAUGGUCCUUGGUUGAAAGAUGGCUUCGGCUAUCACUUACAGAUGGGCCCGCGGCGCAUUAGCUAGUUGGUGAGGUAACGGCUCACCAAGGCGACGAUGCGUAGCCGACCUGAGAGGGUGAUCGGCCACACUGGGACUGAGACACGGCCCAGACUCCUACGGGAGGCAGCAGUAGGGAAUCUUCCGCAAUGGACGAAAGUCUGACGGAGCAACGCCGCGUGAGCGAUGAAGGCCUUCGGGUCGUAAAGCUCUGUUGUUAGGGAAGAACAAGUACCGUUCGAAUAGGGCGGUACCUUGACGGUACCUAACCAAGAAAGCCACGGCUAACUACGUGCCAGCAGCCGCGGUAAUACGUAGGUGGCAAGCGUUGUCCGGAAUUAUUGGGCGUAAAGCGCGCGCAGGCGGUUCCUUAAGUCUGAUGUGAAAGCCCACGGCUCA
This 639-nucleotide ribosomal RNA is filed under the name Saccharococcus sp. 'Mali 235'. RNAcentral's name for it is "partial 16S ribosomal RNA". It matches the Rfam family "Bacterial small subunit ribosomal RNA", at positions 1 to 611 of the family's 1533-position model. The record is from RNAcentral. Lineage: Bacteria; Bacillati; Bacillota; Bacilli; Caryophanales; Anoxybacillaceae.